RNAcentral lists this ribosomal RNA (254 nucleotides) under uncultured bacterium. RNAcentral's name for it is "partial 16S ribosomal RNA". It matches the Rfam family "Bacterial small subunit ribosomal RNA", at positions 524 to 776 of the family's 1533-position model. The record is from RNAcentral.
CACGUAGGGGGCGAGCGUUGUCCGGAUUUAUUGGGCGUAAAGAGCUCGUAGGCGGCUCAGUAAGUCGGGUGUGAAACCUCCAGGCUCAACCUGGAGACGCCACCUGAUACUGCUGCGGCUGGAGUCCGGUAGGGGAGCGUGGAAUUCCUGGUGUAGCGGUGAAAUGCGCAGAUAUCAGGAGGAACACCAGCGGCGAAGGCGGCGCUCUGGGCCGGUACUGACGCUGAGGAGCGAAAGCGUGGGUAGCAAACAGG